RNAcentral lists this long non-coding RNA (752 nucleotides) under Brassica napus (rape). Its description in RNAcentral is "long non-coding RNA (BNAP_LNC011474)". The record is from RNAcentral. Lineage: Eukaryota; Viridiplantae; Streptophyta; Magnoliopsida; Brassicales; Brassicaceae.
CUCUAUUAUUAAAAUCAAAUGUAUCCCAUUACAAAGCCAAAGCUCUGUUUAUAUAAUCCUUCCUUUAGACAAUUCCCAAAAGGAAAAGGAUACUAUAAACCCUAUUUAAAAAGGAAAUAUAACUUUUAAAAGAAAAAUAUGUAAAACCAAAUCCUAUAUCGAUAAAGCUAAAGUAUUAUUCAAACUUAUGAUGUUGGCGCCAAAGGCGUAUCCGAUGCUGCAUCAUCUUGCUUAUGUGUUCCUUCCCGAUCUAAUUUUCCUCUGUUGGCGUCGCUAUUCUUUGUUGUCGUAUAUAAAACUCUUUUUUGAAAUCUCUGAGACGUAGUUGUUUAUAGAAUAGAGGAGCUGAUUUGAGGGACAAAUAAAUGGUUGAAAGAAUCUGAAGAGAUUAUUAAUUGAAGAUGUUUGAUAACUUUGCUUAACAGUCAAUGAAACUGAGAUCAAGAGAAUCGAGAACGUCAAAGGUCCUAAACUAGAUGUUCUCGCCUAAAAUUAUUUUGUGUGUUUUUGUUUUAAAUAAACUAAAUUUGGGAUAUUUUCUUAUUUUGAUUGGUUAGGACAUAAAUUGAUUGGUCAAGAGGGGUUGUGGUUAUGGAGAUUUGCAGGGAUAAACGGAGAAGACGAAGUGUGUGAACCAAAUCGAUCGACCCCUCCGUUCUGUGAAAGGUGUAAGAAACAAAUAUUUUAGGAGUUCAAAACUAGCCUUUCUGAAAUAUAUCAUGAGCCUACAUAAAAACCCAGAAUUUAUUAAU